This is a small nuclear RNA of Ochotona princeps (American pika), 107 nucleotides long. NCBI's taxonomy places the organism in Eukaryota, Metazoa, Chordata, Mammalia, Lagomorpha, Ochotonidae. The record is from RefSeq and is a predicted model, not a curated record.
GUGCUCGCUUCAGCAGCACAUACACUAAAACUAGAAGGAAAAGGAGGAGAUCAGCAUGGCCCCUACAUAAGCAUGACACCAAACACCGAAAAUAUCUGUAUUAAAAU